Brienomyrus brachyistius is the source of this 1417-nucleotide long non-coding RNA. RefSeq lists it as uncharacterized. The record is from RefSeq and is a predicted model, not a curated record. Lineage: Eukaryota; Metazoa; Chordata; Actinopteri; Osteoglossiformes; Mormyridae. The transcript is spliced from 3 exons.
GCAGCGGAGCGGGAGCGGGUCCGGGCGGGAGCGGGAGCGGGUCCUGGCAGGCCCGGCUCCGCAGGUUCCUACCGGCAAAGGCGCUCUCAAAGGACUAACUGGCAAGCGCCCCGCAACUGCUUUUCCACACCCACAAACUGCUUUGAUACACUACUGAACGUAAAUCUACGGAUCAGCGGCGCUAGAAAUAAGACGAAGGGGUCCCGAUCUGCCGCUUGCCCGAAUACACAGCACGCACUUCACCGUGUUCUUCGCCCCCAAAAAGGCCAACACCCGCAAAGGAUGCACACGAGACAGGGAUGCCAGCCCGACCGAACAAGAUCACAGACGAGGCUUAAUUAUCGGAUUAACAGUCAGAAACAGAUACAUGCAGAAAUGAUGGUGAAACCUGAGGUCUGAACACAGUGGUCAGCCAUUCAUCUGGUUCUUCAGGAGUUUAACACCUUAAUGAAGGCCUCAACAGAGAUUUUGUUAAUCUGGAUAGUGUGGGAUUCAAACCAAUGACCUUCCGACCAUAGAGGUCUAACUUGCUGAAUCACAUACCCCCACAUUAGAUAAACACUUACAGAACACUGACACAUGCAUGAGUUAUACAGAUGCCCAGAAACCACAAAACAUCCACUACGGUGAAAAGAACCUGCGUUGUCUUCUUGUUUUAAUAAUGAAGAAUCAUUGAUGUUUGACUCUCUUUGCAGUGUGAUCAGGUGAUGUAGCACUGGCCAAACUAGUACCAGAGUGAAAGUGAAGCGUUAAAGAAAAUUACCGACGUAGGAGAUGGUGGGGGUGGACAAAAGAGGCCACAAUUCACCUUCCAAUCAAACAGAUUGGCUUCUAAAAAAAUACCCCCAAUGUUUUCUGUGACAUUUUGACUUGACAAGUACAGAACUCCCAAUUUUAGCAACUGCAUGUUCAAGUUGGCGCUUAAACCCGUCCAUUUAAUAGAAGCAUUUGAGAUGCCAUUCUUUUCCAGGACACUUAAAGAGCCAAAAGGAUGGUAUAGGUUGAACACGGUGUAAAGAGUGAAAACCAAUGAACCCCAGGCUUGAAAUAAUCAAUACAAGAAAGCUUAGUGAAAAAUGACAGUAGUGUCUGAGGUCACUCUGAGGUCAUGUAACUGCAUGUCCAAUGAAAUAAGAGCCUCAGCCUCGCAUUGAUUUCUCUCCUUUGACUGAAAGAAAUGCAUAACUUUGCAUGUCCUCAUUCCUUUGGCCCAGAAGUCAUAUACGUGUGCAUUUCAGAAUGAAAUACUGUCAUGCGCUAUUUUCCUUAUGCCAGCUCAAACCAGGGAGAAACUGUGCAAAAAAUUUAACGGAAAGCGAAGUCGGCCAGUCCGACGUAUUGAAGCAACCCAGGCGUGCCUACUCAUCUACACAGUGGACAUUGUUUUUGCUGCAAACCCUCCAUGUGUUUUGCCUUG